UGGUCGCUCCUGGGACAGGAUACUG
This 25-nucleotide non-coding RNA is filed under the name Cricetulus griseus (Chinese hamster). Lineage: Eukaryota; Metazoa; Chordata; Mammalia; Rodentia; Cricetidae. The record is from RNAcentral.